Molecule: ribosomal RNA, 253 nt
Filed under: uncultured bacterium
Lineage: Bacteria
Description: partial 16S ribosomal RNA
Rfam family: Bacterial small subunit ribosomal RNA
Source: RNAcentral
GACGGGGGGUCCUAGCGUUGUUCGGAAUUAUUGGGCGUAAAGCGUGCGCAGGCGGCUAUGCAAGACAGAUGUGAAAUCCCCGGGCUCAACCUGGGAAUGGCAUUUGGGACUGCAAGGCUUGAGUGCGGCAGAGGAGACUGGAAUUCCUGGUGUAGCAGUGAAAUGCGUAGAUAUCAGGAGGAAUACCGAUGGCGAAGGCAGGUCUCUGGGCUGACACUGACGCUCAUGCACGAAAGCGUGGGGAGCAAACAGG